UACGUAGGGUGCAAGCGUUGUCCGGAAUUAUUGGGCGUAAAGAGCUCGUAGGCGGUUUGUCGCGUCUGCUGUGAAAACUCGGGGCUUAACCCUGAGCUUGCAGUGGGUACGGGCAGACUAGAGUGCGGUAGGGGAGACUGGAAUUCCUGGUGUAGCGGUGAAAUGCGCAGAUAUCAGGAGGAACACCGGUGGCGAAGGCGGGUCUCUGGGCCGUAACUGACGCUGAGGAGCGAAAGCAUGGGGAGCGAACAGG
Molecule: ribosomal RNA, 253 nt
Filed under: uncultured bacterium
Lineage: Bacteria
Description: partial 16S ribosomal RNA
Rfam family: Bacterial small subunit ribosomal RNA
Source: RNAcentral